UACGGAGGGGGCUAGCGUUGCUCGGAAUCACUGGGCGUAAAGCGCACGUAGGCGGCUUGUUAAGUCAGGGGUGAAAUCCUGGAGCUCAACUCCAGAACUGCCUUUGAUACUGGCGAGCUUGAGUCCGGGAGAGGUGAGUGGAACUGCGAGUGUAGAGGUGAAAUUCGUAGAUAUUCGCAAGAACACCAGUGGCGAAGGCGGCUCACUGGCCCGGUACUGACGCUGAGGUGCGAAAGCUAGGGGAGCGAACAGG
RNAcentral lists this ribosomal RNA (253 nucleotides) under uncultured bacterium. RNAcentral describes it as "partial 16S ribosomal RNA". It matches the Rfam family "Bacterial small subunit ribosomal RNA", at positions 524 to 776 of the family's 1533-position model. The record is from RNAcentral.